AUGAGGGUGAAGGUGCAGGAGGAUAACACAUGUGUGGAAGUGGACAUUGAGUACAAUCAUAAUCACCAACUCAUGCAAACUGAUGACAUGCUGGUAUUCUUGCACUCACACAAGAAUUAUGACCCCGCUAUUUUGGAGUACGUAAAGCUCCUGCAGUACCAUGAUGUCAAGCAUACAACAAUCAUGUCCAUGCUAUCUGAAAAUGAAGAUGGAAGCUACUUCCUAAGCAUGACCGGACGAGACCUAAUAAACUAGAAAGCCAUGAAUGCAAGGAAAGAUGAUUUGGAUGAUGUAUUGCAACUUGUUUCAUUCUUCAAAGACAUGAAGGCAAUCAAUGAUGAGUUUUUCUGUGACAUACAAGUAGACAAGGACAAGUCAAUUAAAAACAUUUUCUGGUCCAAUGCAAGCAGCCGAGGAGCCUAUCAAGACUUUGGCGAUUGCGUAACAUUUGACAAAACUUACAAGACCACCAUAUUUCAUAUGCCUCUGGGAGUGUUUGUUGGAACAACCCACCACUUGCAGUCAAUGAUAUUUGUUGUUUCCCUUAUCAGAGACGAAGAUGCAAAGUCAUUCAAGUGGUUGUUCGAUACAUUUGUAUGGUGCAUGAACAACAAGCACCCAACUUGCAUUCUAACAGACCAGUGCCCAUCGAUGGCGAAAGCUAUACCACAAUCAUUUCCAAACACCGUCCACAAGCUAUGUCGUUGGCACAUCAUGAAGAAGUAUAGGGAAUACCUCGCGUUGUUGUACAAAAAGUAUAAAACAUUGAAAGGGGAGUUCACAACUAUAUUAAACUGGCCGCUAAUGCCAACGGAGUUUGAAGCUGCCUGGGCUGAACUCAUGCACAAGUACAACCUAGAGAACGACCAGAUGAUGAUGCAGUUGUGGAGUGAUAGGAAAAUAUGGAUUUUGGCAUAUUACAAGAACAUUUUCUGUGCUAGAAUGAAUUCCACACAACGGAGCGAGAGCAUGAACCACGUGCUAAAGAAAGGGUUUGUCAAGGGGACCCAGAACCUACACAAGUUUGCUAGGCGGGUAAAUGCUUGCAUACAAACUUGGAUGCAGAAGGAGAACGAGCAAACAAUGACCAGCAUGACCAAUCCUGUGACAAAAACAACUUACGGCUACGAGGAAGACAUGUAUAUCAAGUACAUGAGAGCCAUGCACACCGAGAUGGGGGCUAGGAUGAGAAAAGCCACGCUAUUUAGCGCAAAGCGUACAGCAGAACCCACUGAGUACCUUGUGUACUACCACAACAAGCCUGGCCAUGAUGAUGAAGAAAGAUUUUCCUGGUCAAAGCAUGAAUUCCAGGUUGUAGCUGACCCAGAGAAUGAAAUAUGCGAGUGUGAAUGCAAGCUUUGGACACACAUAGGCCUGUUAUGCCUUCGCAUCAUGAACAUACUGUACUACCUGAAGCCUGACAAAUUUCCACACAAGUAUAUCCUCAAACGGCAGACGAAGAAUGCAAAAUCACAACCAACCUUUGAUACAAGGGACUACAACACAACUGCAUCGGAUGGCAGCUCAAGACUAUCGAAGCAAGGCAUCUUGCUGCAGCUAAAUUUGAUGGUUAACAAGAAAGCGAUGAGAUGUGACCAGCAAUAUGACAGAGCCUACUAUGUUCUCAAGAGGCUCGUGGAAGAGCUUGAUGCAAUACAUUCAGCAAAUCAAGCGGAUGCUGACAAAAGGAUGGCUGAAGAGGACGCUGAAAUUGAAGAUGAUGUUCAUUAUUAUGCAGAUGAAAUGCUAAAUGUCGCUGCUCAAGCCAACCAAUACAGGCAGGGUGUUGACCAAUCAACGGAGCAGCGACAGGAAGAGAUGAUGAAACUGUCGUUGUACUCUGAAACAAAGGGUAGGAAGAAAAAUUGUGCAGCAAAGAAAAGUGACAAGAGAGCUCAAAUAAAGGCACCACCUGCAUAA
Molecule: ribosomal RNA, 1920 nt
Filed under: Triticum aestivum (bread wheat)
Lineage: Eukaryota; Viridiplantae; Streptophyta; Magnoliopsida; Poales; Poaceae
Description: partial small subunit ribosomal RNA
Source: RNAcentral